AGUGAACGCUGGCGGUAGGCCUAACACAUGCAAGUCGAACGGCAGCACAGUAAGAGCUUGCUCUUACGGGUGGCGAGUGGCGGACGGGUGAGGAAUACAUCGGAAUCUACUUUUUCGUGGGGGAUAACGUAGGGAAACUUACGCUAAUACCGCAUACGACCUACGGGUGAAAGCAGGGGAUCUUCGGACCUUGCGCGAUUGAAUGAGCCGAUGUCGGAUUAGCUAGUUGGCGGGGUAAAGGCCCACCAAGGCGACGAUCCGUAGCUGGUCUGAGAGGAUGAGCAGCCACAUGGGAAUUGAGACACGGUCCAGACUCCUACGGGAGGCAGCAGUGGGGAAUAUUGGACAAUGGGCGCAAGCCUGAUCCAGCCAUCCCGCGUGGGUGAAGAAGGCCUUCGGGUUGUAAAGCCCUUUUGUUGGGAAAGAAAAGCAGCAGGUUAAUACCGCGCUGUUCUGACGGUACCCAAAGAAUAAGCACCGGCUAACUUCGUG
This 492-nucleotide ribosomal RNA is filed under the name uncultured bacterium. RNAcentral's name for it is "partial 16S ribosomal RNA". It matches the Rfam family "Bacterial small subunit ribosomal RNA", at positions 29 to 507 of the family's 1533-position model. The record is from RNAcentral.